GGUCUGCUGGCCUAAUGCUCAAGGCGUCUGACUUCGAACCGACCAGCAAAGAUCAGAAGUAUCAGAAGAUUCCAGGUUUGACCCCUAGGUAGAUCA
This 96-nucleotide transfer RNA is filed under the name Venturia inaequalis. It matches the Rfam family "tRNA". From Rfam's summary of the family: Transfer RNA (tRNA) molecules are approximately 80 nucleotides in length. Their secondary structure includes four short double-helical elements and three loops (D, anti-codon, and T loops). Lineage: Eukaryota; Fungi; Ascomycota; Dothideomycetes; Venturiales; Venturiaceae. The record is from Rfam by way of RNAcentral.